Non-coding RNA from Misgurnus anguillicaudatus (oriental weatherfish), 1395 nucleotides. The record is from RefSeq and is a predicted model, not a curated record. NCBI's taxonomy places the organism in Eukaryota, Metazoa, Chordata, Actinopteri, Cypriniformes, Cobitidae.
GUGAAUAAUAAUAAUGAUAAUAAGGAUAAUAAUAAUAAUAAUAAUAAUAAGAAAACAAAAAUGAGAAUAGCAAAAUAAUAUUUACAAUAUUUACAGGGGUGGAACACAAAACACAGAACCAAAGGAAAGGGGACGAGAGUGGUGCUAAAUCAACGAAAGAAACAAAACAAAACGAAGCUAACUAUUUUUAAAGACCUCUAAACUAAUCUAAAGAAAAUAAAAAUAAAACAAAAGGUCUUCAGCGUAUACACGCCCUAACUAAACUACACUAGCUAGAUAAAAGUCGGGGAAAAACAUACAAGGGUGGCACUCACUCCUAAACUAGUGUGUCUAAUACAAAAUUAAUAUCUCCCUACGUGUGCACAAUGUAUGUCGCGCGACAAUCUUACCUGUCCGCCUUUCCCCGGCACGGGGAAAACGAAACGCCAGAACAUUCAGGACAAAACAACGGGAUAAAUGAGAUAACGAAAAACGAGAAUGAACUGACAUACACAGGCGGGGUAAAUAUAACAAGCGAAACAGACAGUACACAGUAACAGAAGGGUGUAUAAUUGUACAGUAAAUACAGUAAAUGAGCCGCAAAUGACUGACGCGCGUUUGAACUGGCGUCCUUUUUAAAACUGUGGGAGAAUGGAGAUUGGUGGAACCUGAUGUGACGUCAUUUAUAUACUGCAAUGAUUGACAUGUUGAUGGUCCAAUCGGGAAACUGGGUGUAUCUGGAGAGAGAGACAGCGGAGAGAGAGAGAGAGAGAGAGACACAACAACAAAGACACACCUACACGGACGUAACACACCCUCCCUUAAGAACAAACAGGUGUUUGUUCUAUCACACAAUUAGAGGGUUAAACUCUGGAAAGGGCAUCGGCUAGAACAUUGUCUUUACCUUUUUUGUGCACAAUCUCCAAAUUAAAGUUUUGUAAAUACAAAGACCAACGCAUUAAACGUUGAUUGUGAUUGUACAUGCGUGACAAGAAAACCAGGGGAUUAUGAUCCGUGAAAACUGUAAUAGCUUAUGGGAUGGUCUACACCGGAUUUAUCCUCCUGAAGGAGAACAGCUCCAGCACCAACACCACUGGCAUCCACUUCCAAUUUAAAAGGGGACCACACAAAAGACUUAGAUGGGCUUAGCAAGGAGGUAAGAGGUUGGACAACAGUCGAGAAGUUUUUGCAGAAACUUCGAUAGUACCCGGCCAUGCCCAGAAACCUGCGCAACUCACGGCGGGUGGUGGGAACGGGAAAUUCCAUAAUGGCCGUGACCUUGGCCGCAACAGGGCGAACUUGACCCUGACCCACUUCCUUACCAAGAUAGGUGCGUUACGAAGACCGAAUGGUAAAACAGAAUAUUGUAGAAGAUGAUCCGGAGUUACAAAAGCAGAAAUUUCAGAAGCUUGAGGG